This 497-nucleotide ribosomal RNA is filed under the name uncultured bacterium. Its description in RNAcentral is "partial 16S ribosomal RNA". It matches the Rfam family "Bacterial small subunit ribosomal RNA", at positions 28 to 507 of the family's 1533-position model. The record is from RNAcentral.
GAUGAACGCUGGCGGCGUGCCUAAUACAUGCAAGUCGAGCGAACAGAUGAGGAGCUUGCUCCUCUGACGUUAGCGGCGGACGGGUGAGUAACACGUGGAUAACCUACCUAUAAGACUGGGAUAACUUCGGGAAACCGGAGCUAAUACCGGAUAAUAUAUUGAACCGCAUGGUUCAAUAGUGAAAGACGGUUUUGCUGUCACUUAUAGAUGGAUCCGCGCCGCAUUAGCUAGUUGGUAAGGUAACGGCUUACCAAGGCAACGAUGCGUAGCCGACCUGAGAGGGUGAUCGGCCACACUGGAACUGAGACACGGUCCAGACUCCUACGGGAGGCAGCAGUGGGGAAUCUUCCGCAAUGGGCGAAAGCCUGACGGAGCAACGCCGCGUGAGUGAUGAAGGUCUUCGGAUCGUAAAACUCUGUUAUUAGGGAAGAACAAAUGCGUAAGUAACUAUGCACGUCUUGACGGUACCUAAUCAGAAAGCCACGGCUAACUACGUG